UACAGGUGUUGCAUGGCUGUCGUCAGCUCGUGUCGUGAGAUGUUCGGUUAAGUCCGCUAACGAGCGCAACCCUCGUCGUAUGUUACAAGUGUCAUACGAGACUGCCGGUAAAAAGUCGGAGGAAGGUGAGGAUGAUGUCAAGUCAGCAUGACCUUUAUAUCUAGGGCUACACACACGCUACAAUGGUCUGUACAAUGGGUUGCCAAGCCGCGAGGCGGAGCCAAUCCUAAAAAGCAGGCCUCAGUUCAGAUUGCAGUCUGCAACCCGACUGCAUGAAGCCGGAGUUGCUAGUAACCGCAGGUCAGCAAUACUGCGGUGAAUACGUUCCCGGGUCUU
Molecule: ribosomal RNA, 336 nt
Filed under: uncultured Anaerolineaceae bacterium
Lineage: Bacteria; Bacillati; Chloroflexota; Anaerolineae; Anaerolineales; Anaerolineaceae
Description: bacterial SSU rRNA
Rfam family: Bacterial small subunit ribosomal RNA
Source: RNAcentral